Labrus mixtus (cuckoo wrasse) is the source of this 216-nucleotide long non-coding RNA. RefSeq lists it as uncharacterized. The transcript is spliced from 2 exons. NCBI's taxonomy places the organism in Eukaryota, Metazoa, Chordata, Actinopteri, Labriformes, Labridae. The record is from RefSeq and is a predicted model, not a curated record.
CCUAACGCUAACCCCCCUGAACGCAUCUUUUCGUUAAGAUUUUUGAUAUUAUUGAUCAUUCAAACAACAGUGAUUGUAUCGUUAAAAACUUGUGGUAUUGAAAAGUAUCAAAACAAAAAGAAAACAACCUUACCAUAGCUUAGCAGCCCCCGUCAGAGGCCUUUAUAUUAAUCCCGUUCUAUUUCAGACUGAAGACAAACAUGCAGUGUCUUCUAU